AGCCCGGCGCGCUCGGCUCGAGAGGCUCCUUCCUCCGGCGUGGUUGCUGAGUGCCCGGCGCUGCUAGGCUCUUUAACUGCCAGGUGGCAGCCAUGAAUGAAUGGAUGAAGAAAGGCCCCUUAGAAUGGCAAGAGUACACUUAUAAAGAAGUCAGAGUGACAGCCAGUGACAAGGAGUAUAAAGGAUGGGUUUUAACCACAGACCCAGUCUCUGCGAAUGUUGUCCUCGUGAACAUCCUUGAAGAUGGCAGUAUGUCUGUGACCGGGAUUAUGGGACAUGCUGUGCAGACUGUUGACAUUGUGAAUGAAGGGGACCAUACCGUGAGAGAGAAGCUGAUGAAUUUGUUCAUGUGUGGAGACUGCAAGGCAUACAGCCCUGAGGAUCUGGAAAAGAGAAAGAACAGCCUAAAGAAAUGGCUGGAGAAGAACCAUAUCCCCAUCACUGAACAGGGGGAUUCACAAAAGACUCUCUGUGUGGCUGGGGUCUUGACUAUCGACCCACCAUAUGGUUCAGAAAAUUGCAACAGUUCUAAUGAGAUUAUUUUGUCCCGUGUUCAGGAUCUUAUUCAGGGACAUCUUACAGCUUCCCAGUGAGAGGCCAAGAACUGCGGAUACACUGACUGAAGCAAGACUUCAUUUUUUUGAUUCAUAAAACAUUUUGAAUGUUAAUUCUGUCAUAUUACAGGACUUUAAAGGCACACAAGUAUGUGUGUACAAGUUUUAACUUUGUUGUUUUUGGUAAAAUCAAAGAAGUGGAUUAUGAGUGCUAAUAAGUGAACUGGGCAAGGAUCACAUCACAAGAAAACAAAACAAUGGACAUCAGAAUUACAAGUCUUGAUAGGGCUACCCCUCCAUUUUUGUUAGGCAAGAAAUGUAUUUGGAAAGGAUGCAACAUGCAUUAGAUUCAAUAUAAAAUGCUUAGGGAAAAUCAGUCUUGUUAAGUCCCUUGCACUAAUUAGAUAUGUCUGUUUUAAAAUGUUUACUUUUUAUUUUUUUGGUGUAGUGAUGAAAUAGUUCUUGAAACAGAGUAUAUACUUCUUUUGUUGUAACUUGAAAGUUUUGAUUAUUGGUAAAAUCUUAACACAGAAGCCUUACAACUUUCAAAGCCUUAGAAGUGAGCACUGACUAAUGUCUCCAGAGGAAGAAUGUCAGUGUGACAGACUUGCUACUGCUGAGCUCAACCCAGUUCUUUUGCCUGGUGGGUUCAGCCCAGGCUUCCGGGUCACGGAGCUUUCUGCCUUCAGUCUCCACUCCCUGGGUCAGGCUUCACUGAGGGGAGAGAAUGCAGGAAGUACGCUUCACUACACCUGAUCCUACCCCUUGGAAGCCGGUUGGGGAGGUUUCUGGCUUACAGAGGCACCUCAGAUUGUUCGUUUGGGGGUCUGUGUGGUCGGGCCACUCAAGAAGGCUGUUCUCUUGCUCUUUGUACACCCCUGCUCGACCAGUUCUGGGUUCACCUACGCGCUACUCACAUGAACGUUCUCAUCCCUCCGCCCUCGGCCCAUUAGGCCAGAUCGGCUCCACCUGCUAGUUUAUUAAAACGAAACAUCUGCCCUCGUGAUGGUCAUUAACCUGAGGUGCUGUGAGGCUGGUUUCCCUGGUAACUGAUGAGCCAACCUGAUGCCAAUUCCCCCUAUAAAUAGUAGCUCCCCCCCACCCCCCCAGGUAGCUGCCAUGUUUUGCUCUCUUGCACCAGGUGGUGUUUUGCUCCAAGACCUUGCUUCAGACGUGUAAGAUCCCCUGUCUGUUGGAGCGGAGGGAAUCUGUUCGCAGACUGGGCGACAACAGUGGCCUCAUUGUGAAUGAGUUGAUGGCUGGGUCUGCAGCGAGAUGCCAUUGUCGUCCUCCUCUGGACUUCCGUGCAAAACUGACCCGAUAAGCACCUGGCUCCAAAGGUUGCUCGCCUCUUGCACUCUUGAUACUUUUAAACUGCUGUUUGUUGUCUGUAUUGCACUUGUGGUAUUUGGGUUGCAGUGCACCUCUGCAUACCUGACCCCAGGGACAUCGCGAAAGAGGGAUGGACCAGGAUUAUGAGUUGUGCAGAGUGUAGGAUCGUGUGGGGUGUGUAGGGGUGGAGUGUAGGUCAGAGCACUUAAGAUGGCCGUUCUCUUGCUCUUUGUACACCCCUUGCCGAGCAGCCCCUGCUUCACUGACACCUCGCUCACAUGAACGCACUCACCCCCUGCCCUGGCCAGUGAUGGUUCUAAUCCUUACGCCAGAGCGGCUCCACCUACCAGUUUAUUAAAGGGCAGCAUCUGUCCUCAUGAUGGUCGUUAACUUGAGGGGCUGUGAGGGACGUGCCUCUUGCCUCAGCUGCUGGUUUCCCUGGUAACUGAUGAGCCAAUCUGGUGUCAAUUCCCCCUAUAAAUUGUAGCCUCCUCCCCUGGGUAGUGGAGGCUGCUCCUAUGUCCUGCUCGCUGUCUGCCACACACAUGGUGGGGUGUUGCUCCAGGGCCUUGCUUCAGAUGUGUAAGAUCCCCCAUCUUUUAAAUCAUUGAUGUCUCUGUCGCUGUUUCUGGGCUCUUUUCUUUGAACUUGAAGCUGAGCAACUACAAGGCUUGCAGGCCUGAAGGGUUCAGCCCAACAAGGUCUUUUCAGGGGCACAUCUACACUGACCCCAGGGUUCCCACAUCAGAUUAGAACCCCUUACUCCCUAGAACAGGGGUUAGCAAACUUCAGGCCCUUGGAACAAGUCCAGCCUGCUGCCUCCAUGUAUUAAAGUUUUAUUGGAACACAUCUGUACCCCCUGGUUUGUAUAUCAUCUGUGGCUGCUUUUGAGCCAUAAUGGCACAGUUGAGUAUUGACAGGAACUAUGUGGUUUAUAUUCUCUACAGAGAAAUAUGGCCCUUUACAGUAAAGUUUGCCCUAGGAGCUCCUUGAGCUAGCCUGGGCCACAAGGGGUCAGGGUGGACUUCCCAACGCAGGUGUGACCUGUGUAUUUCCCUUCUCAUCCAUACAAAAAGAAUUCUUGUACCUUUUGGGAGAAAUGUUUUAAAAUAUUCAAGUUUUAGAGGGUCUUUGAAAGCAGUUUGAUAACGUAGCUAAGUUACUUCCCUGCACAGUUGUCUAGUAACAGGAUGUAGCCCAGUGCUUCUCACAAUUUCACAAACAUCAGAAUCAGCUGGAGAGCUUGUUAACACAAAUUGGGAGUAGGGCCCAGCAAUGUACUGUGAUUCAGUCAGGGGCCAGGAACUUGCAUUUAUAACAAAAUCCCAAAUAAUGGUAAUGCUGCCUGUCCUGGAUCACACUUGCAAAAGUAGUUUAAAACUUUGGGGAACAGAAAGUCCUUCCUUCACAACUUGAGUUUCAUGAUCCUGAAAGUAAAAUUUAGUCCGUAGCCUUUCUCCUUGAGACUAAGACUCCCCUUCAAAGCCCUGCAUGGCUUCAGACAGCAAAUAGGGGAAGGGGAAUAAGAGUAAAUUAGGUGGAAAUGAUUCCGACAAAAUGAGGGAGGCCUUGAGAGGAGGGAAGAUCUGUAGCAAAUUAUCCAUGGCAUCAGUCAGGAUUGAUCCCUUGGCCCAGGGACAGGUGCGUUGGUGUUGGUAGAUUUAUUUGCUGUCAGACUAAUGAGCCGGGGAUGGACUUUCUUGACAAUAGGUCCUCUGAUUGUUUAAACAAUUUGCCUUGCGAAUAAAACCUGAGUGCUAAAGAGUCCAUGACCUGGCUCUGCCAUGGAAACCAGCCUGCUUAGGACGCUGGGCCCGCCAGUUCCUCAGCUAAGAUUCUCCCCAGGAGUUUAACCCACCUGUUUCUGAUCCCUCCUGUGGUUCCAGAUUCCUGGAGGGAGAUCUUUCCUCAAAGCUGGCUCUGCUCCCUGCCAGCUGGAGGUGGUAGCCAGGGCACUCUUUGAUCACAGUUGGUGUCAAAAAUACUUGUCAGAACAAAAGGUCGUUAUGACGUAUUUUUUGAUCCCCUUGGAGCAAAGUUGCCAAUUUUUUGUGUUACAUCUUGCUAUCCCAUUGUUCACAUGCUUUCCUAGAUCUCUCCUCUUUCUCCUAAAGAUGUUAAGGCUGAAAUAGAUUUUUUCCAUUUUUUUUUCAAUAAAAUUAUUAAUGAAAAUUUAAAACCUUGACAAUUUUUUAAAUUGAAGUAUAGUCAGUUACAAUGUGUCAAUUUCUGGUGUACAGCACAAUGUCCCAGUCAUACAUACAUAUAUUCAUUUUCAUAUUCUUUUUCAUUAAAGGUUAUUACAAGAUAUUGAAUAUAGUUCCCUGUGCUGUACAGAAGAAAUUUGUUCUUUUAAUCUGUUUUUAUAUAUAGUGCCUAACAUUUGCAAAUCUCAAACUCCCAAAUUUAUCCCUUCCCACCUCUCUCUCCCCAGUAACCGUAAGAUUGUUUACUAUGUCUGCGAGUCUGUUUCUGUUUUAUACAUGAGUUCAUUGGUGUUCUCUUUUUUUUUAGAUUCUACAUAUGAGUGAUAUCAUGUGGUAUUUUUCUUUCUCUUUCUGGCUUACUUCACUUAGAAUGAUGAUGUCUAGCUCCAUCCAUGUUGCUGCAAAUGGCAUUAUUUUAUUCUUUUUUUAUGGCUGAGUAGUAUUCCAUUAUAUAAAUAUACCACAAAUUCUUUAUCCAGUCAUCUGUCAAUGGACAUUUAGGUUGCUUCCAUGUCUUGGCUAUUUGUAUAUAGUGCUGCUGUGAACAUUGGGGUGCAUGUAUCUUUUUGCAUUAGAGUUCCUUCUGGGUAUGUGCCCAGGGGUAGGAUUGCUGGAUCAUAUGGUAAAUCUAUUUUUAGUCCUUUGAGAAACUCCAUACUGUUUUCCAUAAUGGCUGCACCAAACUACAUUCCCAUUAGCAAUGUAGGAGGGUUCCCUUUUCUCCACUCCCUCUUCAGCAUUUAUUGUUCAUGGACUUUUUAAUGAUAGCCAUUCUGACUGGUGUGAGGUGAUACCUCAUUGUAGUUUUGAUGUGCAUUUCCUCUGAUAAUUAGAGAUAUUGAGCAUUUUUUCAUGUGCCUAUUGGCCAUUCGAAUGUCUUCAUUGGAGAAUUGCUUGUUCAGUCUUCUGCCCAUUUUUGGAUUGGGUUGUUUGUUUUUUUUGUUAUUCAGUUGUACGAGCUGUUUAUAUAUUCCGGAAAUUAAACCUUUGUCAGUUGCAUCACUUGCAAAUAUUUUCUCCCAUUCCGUAGGUUGUCAUUUUGUUUUACUUAUGGUUCCCUUUGCUGUGCAAAAGCUUAUAAGUUUAAUUAGGUCUCAUUUGUUAAUUUUUGCUUUUAUUUCUAUUGCCCUAGGAGAACAUUGCUAAGAUUUAUGUCAGAGAAUGUUUGCCAAUGUUUUCUUCUAGGAGGUUUAUCAUGUCUUGUCUUAUAUUUAAGUCUUUAAGCAUUUUGAGUCUUUAAGCCAUUUUGAGUUUAUUUUGUGUAUGGUAUGAGGGAGUGUUCUAACUUCAUUGAUUUAUAUGCUGCUGUUCAGUUUUCCAAACACCACUUGUUGAAGAGCAUGUAAAACCUUGACAAUUGUUUUAUUUGAGAACUGGUGGAAUUUUCAUGAUGCUGCUUGAAAUAGAUUUCUAGAAUGUUAGGGUCGAGGCUAAGGAUUACUAUAAUUUUGGGAGAAAUCAGAGCAGUGAAGGUCUAUAAUUACACAUAAUUAAUUGUUUCUACUGACAAAUAUGAUUUUUCUUAAACCACUUUACUGAGAUAUGAAUAACAUACAAAAAACUACAUACUUAGUGUAUAUAACAUGAUGAGUUUGGAGAUAAGUAUACACUCAUGAAACCAUCACUACAAUCUAUGCCUAAACAUAACCAUCACCUCCAACAGUUUUUCCUGCCUUCUUUAUUAAUGCUAUCAUAGAUAACAGUGCAAAGAUUAUCUUCAUGAAUAUGUCUUUAUUGCUACUAUUAAACUAAAGUGUAUAGAAAUGAAAGUACUAUGUCAAAGAGUAUGAACACAUGUUGGUUUUUCCCUUUUUAAGUAGUUUGUGCUGCUUUACAUUGACAAGAGUAAUAAAUGUAUGCUAAUUUCAUCACACCCUUAGAGUAUUACUGUUUUGUUUAAAUUUUAUGACUGAAUAUAAAAUGGUGUUUUAAAAUUUGAUUUAAUUUGUAUUUAUUAGCAUUUCCCCAUGUGUCUUUAUUCCCAGUAUGGGAACUGUUUGAUUCAUAUCUUCAUUUAAAAAAAUCUUCAUUUUUUAAAGAAGUUAUUUUCUCCAUAUUCCCAUCAUGUCAUAUCUGUUUAUGUUUCUAAAUUUUACUCAUGUGGAUUUAUGUAAGUAAGCAACUAGUGAUACAUGCAUUUCUUCUAACUUUGACAUAAUUUCAGAUUUACAGAAAAUUUGCAUAAACAGGACAAAGAAUUGCCAUAUAUCCUUUAUCCAGCAAGUGUUAACAUUUACCACACUUGUAUUUUCUGUGCAUGUGUAUGUGUGUUCAUUUUUCUCCCUGAACUGUUUGAGAAUAAAUCAUGGACACAAUGGAAA
RNA transcript from Camelus dromedarius (Arabian camel), 6414 nucleotides. It is a transcript of the gene named gem nuclear organelle associated protein 6, with no coding region annotated. NCBI's taxonomy places the organism in Eukaryota, Metazoa, Chordata, Mammalia, Artiodactyla, Camelidae. The transcript has 4 exons. The record is from RefSeq and is a predicted model, not a curated record.